GGCCGUUUAGCUCAGUUGGCAGAGCGUCGUGCUAAUAACGCGAAUGUCGUGGGUUUGACCCCCCCCCCCCCCCCUUGGCCA
RNAcentral lists this transfer RNA (81 nucleotides) under Dreissena polymorpha. RNAcentral's name for it is "tRNA-Ile". The stretch from base 8 to 65 matches the Rfam family "tRNA", at positions 8 to 63 of the family's 71-position model. From Rfam's summary of the family: Transfer RNA (tRNA) molecules are approximately 80 nucleotides in length. Their secondary structure includes four short double-helical elements and three loops (D, anti-codon, and T loops). Lineage: Eukaryota; Metazoa; Mollusca; Bivalvia; Myida; Dreissenidae. The record is from RNAcentral.